RNAcentral lists this ribosomal RNA (1830 nucleotides) under Salmonella enterica subsp. enterica serovar Agona. RNAcentral describes it as "partial 23S ribosomal RNA". It matches the Rfam family "Bacterial large subunit ribosomal RNA", at positions 990 to 2802 of the family's 2925-position model. The record is from RNAcentral. Lineage: Bacteria; Pseudomonadati; Pseudomonadota; Gammaproteobacteria; Enterobacterales; Enterobacteriaceae.
GGCGGGUGCUAACGUCCGUCGUGAAGAGGGAAACAACCCAGACCGCCAGCUAAGGUCCCAAAGUCAUGGUUAAGUGGGAAACGAUGUGGGAAGGCCCAGACAGCCAGGAUGUUGGCUUAGAAGCAGCCAUCAUUUAAAGAAAGCGUAAUAGCUCACUGGUCGAGUCGGCCUGCGCGGAAGAUGUAACGGGGCUAAACCAUGCACCGAAGCUGCGGCAGCGACACUCAGGUGUUGUUGGGUAGGGGAGCGUUCUGUAAGCCUGCGAAGGUGGCCUGUGAGGGUUGCUGGAGGUAUCAGAAGUGCGAAUGCUGACAUAAGUAACGAUAAAGCGGGUGAAAAGCCCGCUCGCCGGAAGACCAAGGGUUCCUGUCCAACGUUAAUCGGGGCAGGGUGAGUCGACCCCUAAGGCGAGGCCGAAAGGCGUAGUCGAUGGGAAACGGGUUAAUAUUCCCGUACUUGGUGUUACUGCGAAGGGGGGACGGAGAAGGCUAUGUUGGCCGGGCGACGGUUGUCCCGGUUUAAGCGUGUAGGUGUGUGUUCCAGGUAAAUCCGGUUCACUUUAACACUGAGGCGUGACGACGAGGCACUACGGUGCUGAAGCAACAAAUGCCCUGCUUCCAGGAAAAGCCUCUAAGCAUCAGGUAACAUCAAAUCGUACCCCAAACCGACACAGGUGGUCAGGUAGAGAAUACCAAGGCGCUUGAGAGAACUCGGGUGAAGGAACUAGGCAAAAUGGUGCCGUAACUUCGGGAGAAGGCACGCUGACACGUAGGUGAAGUGAUUUACUCAUGGAGCUGAAGUCAGUCGAAGAUACCAGCUGGCUGCAACUGUUUAUUAAAAACACAGCACUGUGCAAACACGAAAGUGGACGUAUACGGUGUGACGCCUGCCCGGUGCCGGAAGGUUAAUUGAUGGGGUCAGCGCAAGCGAAGCUCCUGAUCGAAGCCCCGGUAAACGGCGGCCGUAACUAUAACGGUCCUAAGGUAGCGAAAUUCCUUGUCGGGUAAGUUCCGACCUGCACGAAUGGCGUAAUGAUGGCCAGGCUGUCUCCACCCGAGACUCAGUGAAAUUGAACUCGCUGUGAAGAUGCAGUGUACCCGCGGCAAGACGGAAAGACCCCGUGAACCUUUACUAUAGCUUGACACUGAACAUUGAGCCUUGAUGUGUAGGAUAGGUGGGAGGCUUUGAAGUGUGGACGCCAGUCUGCAUGGAGCCGACCUUGAAAUACCACCCUUUAAUGUUUGAUGUUCUAACGUGGACCCGUAAUCCGGGUUGCGGACAGUGUCUGGUGGGUAGUUUGACUGGGGCGGUCUCCUCCUAAAGAGUAACGGAGGAGCACGAAGGUUGGCUAAUCCUGGUCGGACAUCAGGAGGUUAGUGCAAUGGCAUAAGCCAGCUUGACUGCGAGCGUGACGGCGCGAGCAGGUGCGAAAGCAGGUCAUAGUGAUCCGGUGGUUCUGAAUGGAAGGGCCAUCGCUCAACGGAUAAAAGGUACUCCGGGGAUAACAGGCUGAUACCGCCCAAGAGUUCAUAUCGACGGCGGUGUUUGGCACCUCGAUGUCGGCUCAUCACAUCCUGGGGCUGAAGUAGGUCCCAAGGGUAUGGCUGUUCGCCAUUUAAAGUGGUACGCGAGCUGGGUUUAGAACGUCGUGAGACAGUUCGGUCCCUAUCUGCCGUGGGCGCUGGAGAACUGAGGGGGGCUGCUCCUAGUACGAGAGGACCGGAGUGGACGCAUCACUGGUGUUCGGGUUGUCAUGCCAAUGGCACUGCCCGGUAGCUAAAUGCGGAAGAGAUAAGUGCUGAAAGCAUCUAAGCACGAAACUUGCCCCGA